CAAGCCAUCGACUAAACACCCAAUCAACCAAGAUUAUAUCCUCAGUUGGCUGUAUUGGCCUUCUACCAGAAGCAACCUCAAGCAAGAAGGCCCCAAAAGCGAACACAUCAGUGCUUGUCGUGGCCUUUCCAGUUCGUGCAUGCUCAGGUGCGAGAUACCCAAGAGUUCCGACAACGUGGGUCGUUUGAGGAUCUGUUCCAUGGUCAUACAAUCUUGCAAGGCCAAAAUCCCCUAAUCUUCCAUUCAAUUCACGAUCUAGCAAGACAUUACUAGCCUUGACAUCUCUAUGAAUCACAACUUGCUCCCAUUCUUCAUGUAGAUAAAAUAGCCCUGAAGCUACGCCAUUGAUGACUCUAAAUCUUUGGCUCCAAUUGAGGGCGACUGUUGGUUGGUCAUAGAGGUAUUUGUCUAAACUUCCAUUAGGCAUGUAGUCAUAUACCAAAAGUAGCUCUCCUCUACGCCGGCAGUACCCCAAGAGAGGGACUAAAUUCCGGUGACGAAGGCGACCAAUGCUGACAAUUUCCGCCACAAAUUCCCUCAUCCCCUGUCUUGAUUCAUGAGACACCCUUUUCACUGCAAUCUGAAUCUUAGAGGUUGGCAAGACACCUUUGUAGACUCUACCAAACCCACCACUACCCAACAGCUCCUCGUCUCUAAAUCCUUUGGUGGCAGUAUAAAGAUCUUUGUAUUUAAAUCGGUGAGGCCCAUAGUCAAGCUCCCAAUCUUCUAGCACUUCUGCAAACUUCCUUGUCCUUCGUAUGGCAUAAGAUGUACUCGAGACUGCUACUAAAACCAAACUUAAACAAAGCACAGGAAGUUCAAUGGUUAAGAAUUUGGAUGUCUUCUUUGGUCCUACUCGAGGAAGCUUAGGAAGGCGAGAGAUAUGUAGUGCUUCAGCUAGGCCAUUCAUCUUGAAGCUCCAGCCCAACACAUAAUGGGACGUGAAAACAGAACCGGUGGAUGAUGAGAAUCCGAUAUACAUACUACUGUUUAAGAUUGGCGACAAAUCACAAGACAGAGUCAAAAGUGGUCUACUGGGUUUAUCAACAUCAAUCGGAGCUAUAGUGACAUCAAGUUGCUUCUCCUUGCCAUCAUAUUCCAUCCAAACUUGCAUUGGAUGGCCACUAAUUAGUGUCAAGUUUGUGAGCUUACCAUUAAGUUGAGAAUAAUAUCCUGCUGAAGCAGAUCGUUCAGACUCUAAACCAUUAAUAUCAAUCCCAACAUGGUUAUCAUCGAUAUCAUUGAACUCGCUGCUGUAUAUCGUGUCAAGCUCCACAGCAACAACAUGGUUGGUCUGAUUCCCAUUGUUGGUCUUAUUAAAUAGACCAAGGUACUGGCUUGGAAGAGCUCCUGGGAGACCUCUUGUGGGUGCAAUGACAAAGGCAAUACCAUGGCCACCAAGAGUUGGAUAUUCAGGUAUGAUAGCGAAAACAAAGGUAGUGGAGAAGGUGAAAGCAGUGCUAUUUAUAGAGUUCUUGAAGGUUACUGGGUUUGGAUAGAAGGCGUGACUCGUUCGUUGCUUGGUUUCAUUGGUUAGCCUCAAAAGGCCAUUGGAGGUUAACUCAGCUAAGCCGUCAAGGCUUAGAUUAGUGGAUCGGAAGCCAGAGUAGGUGAAGUUGAAGUUGAGUUCUUGAGAGGCUGCUAUUGCUAAGCUAAAUAAGACACGCACCAUUAAGACAAUUCUGAAUAACAUUGCAACUGUAUUUGUCUCUACCCACCAGUUUCUUGUUUAUGUUGUUAGUUAUAAUGGAGUAUCCACGCCAUCAAAGAGUUAAUGAUAGAGCCAAUUAGCCAAACAAUGAGGAGAAUCUUUCCAUUCAAUGGUUGAGAUAAUCUAACUUGUCAAACUUUCAGGUUGAUGUGAAAGCACAACCAUAAUUUUAAGGCAAUAUGAAAGAUUAGUCAAUUUCGGCAACUCUUCUGUGAAAUUUCGCGGUUAGGCAUAGUUUUGAGUUACAGUUGAAUAUUUUUUUCAUACUCAACGUUAACUACUCAGGCUUCCUAUACUCUUUCCUGGCUUGACCAUAAGUGCUCAAGACUUUUUCUAGAUGCCUCUGACCAAGUUCGGGCUUAAACUUUAGGUGGUUCGACACAAUACAUUUUUUGAUCUAUCUAGGACUUGAUACUAGCCCAUUUCCUUACGUAUCGAAUCCAAUCUUGCUACCAAAUCAUAAGUUGAUGGGUACUAAAUCCACCUAUGAAAACUUUUAAAACCAAAUCAAAAUGUAUUGUUUUUUUUUUGUUUUUUUUAAAACAAAAACGAAUAGGCUUUUACAUUUUGUUUUCAAAAGUUAAAAAAUAAAAGAAAAAACAUUAAUUCUUUAUUUUAUCUUAAAUUAGCCUCUUAAAACUAAAAUGGCUAAAAUAAGGUGCAGUAAAAGGCUAAUAUCAAGCACAUAAAUUAUAAAUGAAUGAAAGGAUAAGAGUCAAUCUACCCAAAUUAAAAGGAUUGAAAAUUAUAAGUGAGGAAGGAUUGAAGGAACCUUCCAAUCCUUUUUUAUACAUGUCUUCAUCCUUUUUGCCAAAUGAUACUAAAUGCUUCCUCACUAGUCCCUCCCCUCUGAUCCAUCCUUAAACCCUCCUAACAAGCAAAGUAUAAAACCUAAUUAUAAUUAUAAGUCUUUGCAAAAAAAAAAAAAAAAAAAACGAGUAUGUUCAAUCAUUUUUAUAUUUGUUGUGGCAAGAAAUCAAGGUUGAAUUUCGAGGCGUGCUGAUUAGGGAGACAAAAAGGAUAAUGCUUAAUAGUUGAGGGCAAAAUAGAUCAAUUUUAAACUUUGAAGACUAACUUAAACUAACCCUAUAUAGUUGGGAGAUUUACUUGUAGUUAUCUCUUGUCAUAUUUUUGCUUACAAAUGUUUUGGACGGACUUGACGCCAAAUGGGAGAAUAUAGUGCCUUUGUUUGUUCUGCUCAAAUUUUAUGUCGGGAAAACCGAGUGUUCAAUUGCAUCUAGAAAGUGAAAUAGUGAAACCUUGUUAUGUGAUCUAUAAAUUGGUAUGCUGCUUUCAUUUCAUCGGCACUCUCAAAUACAAGGAAACCAGCUGUCCCCUCCUGUUCAGAGCUUUGCUAUGACCGAAGAAAAUCAACAGAUCAAGUCCCCUCAAGAACCGCCUGCUGAUCAAGCAGUACCACCCUUGCCAAGUAAGUAUAAAGAAAAUAAUUUUUUGAUGUUUUGUUGUUUGUAAGAAGUACCAUCACGUGAUUCUGGCGAUCACGAUCGAAGGCAGAGAUCCAAAAAUGUUAUUCCAUCGAGGACUUGAAGGUUCUUAAUUUUUAUGAUCCGACCAUUCGGAUCCUGAUUUUAACAAUUAUAGUUUCCCUCGAAAAACAAGGGGAAAGGAUGAUAUACCUAAGAUUCUAUCAGUAAUUCAAAACCAUUAUAUUCGGAGAAUCUUAAACAUUAGUUUCCUAGUAGUAAUAUUUUUAGUUUGCUAACAAUUAUGGCAUAUUUUAAUUUUCUUUUCUUUUCUUUUUUUCUCACACACGAUUAUGGCAUCUAUGUUUUCCACUUAUGAAUGCUUUACUUUGGACAAGUUUUAGGAAUGUACGGGUUGGGAUCAAAUCCUGCUGCAAAAACAACAUGGCCUGAGUUAGUUGGCUUAACAGCGGAAGAAGCUGAAAGAAGGAUAAAGGAGGAGAAGCCAGGUGCUCAAAUUCAAGUUGUUCAACCUGAUUGCUUUGUGACCAUGGAUUUUCGACAGAAUAGAGUACGAUUACACGUUGACUCAUUAGGCAAAAUCGAGAGAGCUCCUAGAAUUGGUUAAUCUUGCUUUUGUGUUUGAGAAUGUACCGAGUCUAUAAGUCGAUCUUGGAUUGGCUAUGUGGUUUACCUUAUGUUUGUAAUAGGUACGUAAAUUUGCCUGUGAAUGUUGCGUGAUAUCAUUUUCUUCUCUUUUCAUGUCAUUCACUAUGGGUUGUCUUGGAUAAGGCAAAGCACACAAGUCAUAAAAUUUAUAUAUGGGGUCCAAAAUUGUCGGCAUAAUUGUUCAAUAUAUGAUUAUAAGAAGGAAGUCUUGUUUCUUAAAUCUCUGGGUCUCUUAAACUGAACUUGCUUGGAUCAACUGAAAGAAAAUGAUAAAGAAAUAGAGGAAUCUUGCAAACUUUUGUCAGUGAGUGGAAUGGGAUAUUGUUAUCAAGGAGGGAUUUUUCAUCCCUGAAGGAGGAAUUCCAAGAGAACCUGAAAUUCAAUUGAAUGGUGCCCACCAAGCCCAGUUCCACAUUAAAAGCAAAUGGAAGGAAGCAACACAAGAAAGAUAGAAGAACAAGCGACACAAAAUUAUGUUGAAUAGGGUCACAAUAUAAACUUUAAUUUGAAAUUUUAUUACUAAAUAUUUCACCACACAAAUAUUUUGAUCAAAACUCUCUAUUAUAGCUCUUUUAAGUUGCUUUAUACUAGUAAAAAAUCUUAAACAAAGUUGAAAUAGUAAUAAAAUACUUCUAAAUCAAAUAAAAAAAAAUCCUAAAUAAACUAGUAAAAUAUAGCAAAUUUCAAAUAGAAACUUCUAAGCAUUACCAUAAAGUUUUCUCGAUACUGAUUGUUAGAAAAUUUAACCCUAAAAAAAUCAUAGUCUCUAGAAGCUUCUAGCAAAAUUUUUAAUUGAUCCAACAAUUGGAUUAAAAUUUAUACAUAUUAACAUAAAAUUAUGCAUUAAAAAAAAAUCACCUACAUAAAUGUUUCUAUGUUGAAGAGAACUCGUCGAGUUGUAGCCAUCCAUCCAUCUAUGUUGUUGUUAUUAUGGACAUCGAAAGGGAUAUCCUUGCACUCCACUAACCUCUAGUGUGUUGACUAUACAAUUAGCCAACUUAAAUAAAGUUGGUCAAAAAUCAAUGCCUCAAAACACUCUGAUUCUUUGUAAAACCAUUACUUGAAUUCGUUCUUUGACAGACAGACUUGCUACUUGGCAGAUUAAUUCAGAUAACUUGUUGUACUACUUCCAACUAUAACUAUGCUUAGUAAAAUGCUUCAUGCUUGGUCUUUUAAACAUUACCUCUUGCUUCAUGCUUAGUAAAAUGCUUCAUGAUUUGUUACCAUGUUUGCUUUCUUAUGUGAUACAUCAACAUAAACAAAAGGGAGAGAUACUGUGUUAUGCAUUAGAUUUAAUUUGCAUCAUUGUUUUGCAGGUGAUCUUUCAUGUACAUCUCCUAAAGGCAGUUUACUAAACUUUUUUUUUAAAAAAAACCCACUCAUAAGGUAAUGUAUUGCAUACAGGAACUCCUCUGAUUCACCAAAAAUAUCUUACAUGAGUUCUUGAUAAGGUCCUUCAAGAAAAGUAAUAAUUAACGGCCACCUGAAAGGAGGGACUCUGCAACCGAGGACGAAUGUGCAAAUGCCUUGUCCAUAGAAGAAGGAUAAGAAAUGGCAAACUCAUCAAAACCUUCACGAUGUGAAAAUGUUAGGCCACUUGCAGAAAGACAAAGUGGUGAAAUGUCAGGCAGAGGAACAUCCCCCUCUAAGAACUGCACUACUUGCCGCAUGCGUGGCCUUGCUGCAGGCUCAGAAUGAGAGCACAUCAAACCAAGUUUCAAUACCAAUUCCAUUUCCUCUGCAAUAUAUUCUGCACCCAAAUUGGGAUCCCUUGCCUCCAGAAUUUCACCUCCAAGCCAUCGACUAAACACCCAAUCAACCAAGAUUAUAUCCUCAGUUGGUUAUAUUGGCCUUCUACCAGAAGCAACCUCAAGCAAGAAGGCCCCAAAAGCGAACACAUCAGUGCUUGUCGUGGCCUUUCCAGUUCGUGCAUGUUCAGGUGCGAGAUACCCAAGAGUUCCGACAACGUGGGUCGUUUGAGGAUCUGUUCCAUGGUCAUACAAUCUUGCAAGGCCAAAAUCCCCUAAUCUUCCAUUCAAUUCACCAUCUAGCAAGACAUUACUAGCCUUGACAUU
Molecule: long non-coding RNA, 5879 nt
Filed under: Populus trichocarpa (black cottonwood)
Lineage: Eukaryota; Viridiplantae; Streptophyta; Magnoliopsida; Malpighiales; Salicaceae
Description: long non-coding RNA (PTRI_LNC001710)
Source: RNAcentral